AAAAAUUUAGUUAAUUCUAUAACUUUAGCUUGUCAAGCUAAGAUAGCUUUCUUUAAGCAAUUUUUA
RNAcentral lists this transfer RNA (66 nucleotides) under Paralepas cf. quadrata. Its description in RNAcentral is "tRNA-Asp". Lineage: Eukaryota; Metazoa; Arthropoda; Thecostraca; Heteralepadidae. The record is from RNAcentral.